GACGAACGCUGGCGGCGUGCUUAACAAAUGCAAGUCGAACGAGUGGAGAACGGGUGAGUAACACGUGGGUGAUCUGCCUUGCACUUCGGGAUAAGCUUGGGAAACGGGGACUAAUACCGGAUAGUGCAAGAUGCGCGCGAGGCCUAUCAGCUUGUUGGUGGGGUAAUGGCUACCAAGGCGCGAAGGGGCGCCGGCCUGAGCGGGUGUACGGCCACAUUGGUCCUGCGUGACGGCCCAGACUCCUACGGGAGGCAGUAGUGGGGAAUAUUGCUCAAUGGGCGGAAGACUGAUGCAGCGACGCCGCGUGCGUGAUGAAGGCCUUCGUGUUGUAAACUCCUUUCGACAGGGACGCGGUACCUGUAUAAGAAGCACCGGCUAACUACGAGCCAGCAGCCGCGGUAAGUC
Molecule: ribosomal RNA, 405 nt
Filed under: uncultured bacterium
Lineage: Bacteria
Description: partial 16S ribosomal RNA
Rfam family: Bacterial small subunit ribosomal RNA
Source: RNAcentral